AUUGAACGCUGGCGGCAGGCCUAACACAUGCAAGUCGAGCGGUAGCACAGAGAGCUUGCUCUCGGGUGACGAGCGGCGGACGGGUGAGUAAUGUCUGGGAAACUGCCUGAUGGAGGGGGAUAACUACUGGAAACGGUAGCUAAUACCGCAUAACGUCGCAAGACCAAAGUGGGGGACCUUCGGGCCUCAUGCCAUCAGAUGUGCCCAGAUGGGAUUAGCUAGUAGGUGGGGUAAUGGCUCACCUAGGCGACGAUCCCUAGCUGGUCUGAGAGGAUGACCAGCCACACUGGAACUGAGACACGGUCCAGACUCCUACGGGAGGCAGCAGUGGGGAAUAUUGCACAAUGGGCGCAAGCCUGAUGCAGCCAUGCCGCGUGUAUGAAGAAGGCCUUCGGGUUGUAAAGUACUUUCAGCGAGGAGGAAGGCAUUAAGGUUAAUAACCUUGGUGAUUGACGUUACUCGCAGAAGAAGCACCGGCUAACUCCGUGCCAGCAGCCGCGGUAAUACGGAGGGUGCAAGCGUUAAUCGGAAUUACUGGGCGUAAAGCGCACGCAGGCGGUCUGUCAAGUCGGAUGUGAAAUCCCCGGGCUCAACCUGGGAACUGCAUUCGAAACUGGCAGGCUAGAGUCUUGUAGAGGGGGGUAGAAUUCCAGGUGUAGCGGUGAAAUGCGUAGAGAUCUGGAGGAAUACCGGUGGCGAAGGCGGCCCCCUGGACAAAGACUGACGCUCAGGUGCGAAAGCGUGGGGAGCAAACAGGAUUAGAUACCCUGGUAGUCCACGCCGUAAACGAUGUCGACUUGGAGGUUGUGCCCUUGAGGCGUGGCUUCCGGAGCUAACGCGUUAAGUCGACCGCCUGGGGAGUACGGCCGCAAGGUUAAAACUCAAAUGAAUUGACGGGGGCCCGCACAAGCGGUGGAGCAUGUGGUUUAAUUCGAUGCAACGCGAAGAACCUUACCUACUCUUGACAUCCAGAGAACUUAGCAGAGAUGCUUUGGUGCCUUCGGGAACUCUGAGACAGGUGCUGCAUGGCUGUCGUCAGCUCGUGUUGUGAAAUGUUGGGUUAAGUCCCGCAACGAGCGCAACCCUUAUCCUUUGUUGCCAGCGGUCCGGCCGGGAACUCAAAGGAGACUGCCAGUGAUAAACUGGAGGAAGGUGGGGAUGACGUCAAGUCAUCAUGGCCCUUACGAGUAGGGCUACACACGUGCUACAAUGGCAUAUACAAAGAGAAGCGACCUCGCGAGAGCAAGCGGACCUCAUAAAGUAUGUCGUAGUCCGGAUUGGAGUCUGCAACUCGACUCCAUGAAGUCGGAAUCGCUAGUAAUCGUAGAUCAGAAUGCUACGGUGAAUACGUUCCCGGGCCUUGUACACACCGCCCGUCACACCAUGGGAGUGGGUUGCAAAAGAAGUAGGUAGCUUAACCUUCGGGAGGGCGCUUACCACUUUGUGAUUCAUGACUGGGGUG
This 1462-nucleotide ribosomal RNA is filed under the name Klebsiella aerogenes. RNAcentral describes it as "bacterial SSU rRNA". It matches the Rfam family "Bacterial small subunit ribosomal RNA". Lineage: Bacteria; Pseudomonadati; Pseudomonadota; Gammaproteobacteria; Enterobacterales; Enterobacteriaceae. The record is from RNAcentral.